RNAcentral lists this ribosomal RNA (494 nucleotides) under uncultured bacterium. Its description in RNAcentral is "partial 16S ribosomal RNA". It matches the Rfam family "Bacterial small subunit ribosomal RNA", at positions 28 to 506 of the family's 1533-position model. The record is from RNAcentral.
GAUGAACGCUGGCGGCGUGCCUAAUACAUGCAAGUAGAACGCUGAAGGAGGAGCUUGCUCUUCUGGAUGAGUUGCGAACGGGUGAGUAACGCGUAGGUAACCUGCCUGGUAGCGGGGGAUAACUAUUGGAAACGAUAGCUAAUACCGCAUGACAACAGUUAUUGCAUGAUAACUGUUUAAAAGGGGCAACUGCUCCACUACCAGAUGGCCCUGCGUUGUAUUAGCUAGUUGGUGAGGUAACGGCUCACCAAGGCGACGAUACAUAGCCGACCUGAGAGGGUGAUCGGCCACACUGGGACUGAGACACGGCCCAGACUCCUACGGGAGGCAGCAGUAGGGAAUCUUCGGCAAUGGACGGAAGUCUGACCGAGCAACGCCGCGUGAGUGAAGAAGGUUUUCGGAUCGUAAAGCUCUGUUGUAAGAGAAGAACGAGUGUGAGAGUGGAAAGUUCACACUGUGACGGUAUCUUACCAGAAAGGGACGGCUAACUACGU